Molecule: small RNA, 117 nt
Filed under: Papio anubis (olive baboon)
Lineage: Eukaryota; Metazoa; Chordata; Mammalia; Primates; Cercopithecidae
Description: Metazoan signal recognition particle RNA (ENSPANG00000039974.1)
Source: Rfam by way of RNAcentral
GCUGGGCGCGGUGGCUCAUGCCUGUAAUCCCAGCACUUUGGGAGGCUGAGGUGGGUGGAUCACCUGAGGUCAGGAGUUCGAGACCAGCCUGGCCAACAUGGUGAAACCCCAUCUCUA